AUUAGGCAUUUCGACACCUUUUUUAAAUUUUUACUAUAAUUUUAAAUUAAUUUGGGAAAUUGUAUUUUUUUUUAAUUUAUCUGGUUACAUAAGGGUGUAGUUUUUUUUUAAGUCGACUGAACCCGACUUGCCCCUGGUCGACCUUAAUGCGUGCAAACUCCGACAGAGGGAAGUCUUUUACGAUAGUUCACUUCGGGCCGGACGACGAGAGUUGCCGAAGGUUUCCGACGCCCCUCCACCCUCCAGGGCAAGGUCCUUGUUUGAAUUAGCGACGCGGCGCGGAUGUGAGGGGACUCUUGCUCUGCACUCUGGAACGACCGCGUCGGUAGACCGCUGAUCGUGUUUCGGGCUCCGUCCAGUUAAUCAAAGCUGACGCCGAGCAGCAGUACUAAGAUGUAGUCCGAUCAGAAAAGGGAUGUUUCCCUAUUUACCUUUUGGUUUUUAAUUUUAGUCAUCUCAGCAUAGCCUCUACGUAGUAAUCCUAGUUUCUCCGCGGACCAAAUUUCUUGUCUGGUGCCGCAUAUAUUUUUUUCUUUUAACCGCGACGUCGGCCGCGCAUCACCCUCCAUCUACCAGGCGACAUGGCUGUGCCUAACAACUUCUACCCUGUUUUGGUAAGUUCUCUCUUCGGUCCUUUUGAAGUUUGUCUCUCUUGCAGUCGUUUUCUGACCCGACCUUGUUCUGUCUGUGGUGCAGAUCUAAUUUAUUUUGGUUUGGUCUGUCCACAGACAGGGUCCUAGCCCCCCCCCCCCCCACCAAAGAGAAAGAACCCAUCAUGGGGAACAAAGCAAGCCCGGCGACCUCCAAUUUUGAAUUGGUGGUUUCGCCAGUGGAAGCCCUCUCUCCCGGCCUUUUCGCCAUCAGCUACGAACCGCAAGAAAAUCUUCAGUUCGUGAGAGCGAGUGCCAGUGAAAGUUUUAUUUUGUAAAUUUCCAAAUGUAAUUUCAAAUAUCAGAUUAGAACCAGUUUAACAGUUUUGGUCUCUUCAGCCAUCUCGAAAUUGUAUAUGUGAAAUUUUUAUAACUAACCAAUGAUAAGCUUAUAUGGCGAUUACAGAUUAUUGUAAAAUGUUAAAACUUUACGGUUUCUUUAAGAAUAAUGUGUUGGAAAAAUAAUUUUCUAUUCGCGGCCCGGGUCGGCAAAUGAUUAGGUAAACUAAGCUCUCUUUAAUAAUGGUUAAAUGAUAGAAGUAUUUUCUCUUUAUAGCUUGUAACAGAAAAUCUUGAAAACAAACUUUGACCUUAAAUAAAAGGAUGCCUAUAAACGUAACUGUUUAUUUUUAUUACUUAAGGCAAUAACGAUCCACACUAAAAUCCCAAGUCUUGAUAGGGAGUUUACAAAUUUUGUUUGGACCCACCCCGUGUCCGCCUCUGAUGUUUAAACUUUGUUCUUAAUUAUUUAUUUUCUGCCUGCCACUUCCAAGGCCUGUUUUGUCGACAUCUUGUCAAUAUUAAUAAAUAGUAAUAACAAGGACACGAGUGGCGUUUCAAUUGGUAGCAGAGCAUGGUUUCGUCUAUAGGCAUACCUGAAUAGGCAUACGUAAAAAAAAAUUUUUUUGAAAAGGUUUAAAUUUUGUUUGGUACUUAGGCCUGUUUUGUAUGAUAUAUUGUAAGCUGGAGCUGGCACCAAACAAGUUUCUUGUGCUUCUUUAAAUGUUUUAAAUUAAUUUUUCUCGUAGUUUUUCACGUGCGGUGAACGUCGUAGCUUCCAACGCCCACGCAAGCUUGCGCGAGGUGCCGCGCGACGCCGGGCGAGCAAGCGCCUGCCUUAUCGCUUGUAACUCUACCGGCCGUCGACGCCUGUCUCUCCCCCCUUCCCCUUCCAGAGGCCCUGCAGAUGCCCAGGGCCGCGUUAUCUUAUUCGUACCCUCUUCAGGGGUACCCAAAGUCCAUCUCCCCGGUAACUUUUCGUCUCAUUAGCGCAAGACGAUCGCCCGCGACAUGAUUUUUAAAUUUAUGCCCAGUAAAUCCUGGAGAGUAAAGCUUCACGUGAGCCACUGUUUAGUUCACGUUUUUUCUGAUAGCCAUGUGGUUGCUGCCAUGUUGUUACAUCCCCUCCUCGUUCCACGCCAUGCGGACUGUGUCGCCCGCCGGCGCGGCGUCUUAUCUUCUAGGGCUGACCAAAGCUGACGUCUCUGUAGUGACGCCGAAUUUUGUUUAUCUCCGCCUGCCGUAGUUUCUUUACGACGGAGAAUUAUCUAAAUUAUCGUUUGCUACUGUCGUCCCGCAGUAGUUAGCUAAAAGUAUUUUAAAUUUAAGGAUUAAGUUUAGUGGUAAACAAAUAACUAUACGUUAUGAGUAUCUUUUUUAUCUGGUACCAAUAUCUUUACUAAUUAACACGCAAGUAAUAGUUAAACAUAGAUUUCUAAUAUACCUACGUUUCAAGGGCUUCCCUCCUCCAUCAUAAUAUUUAUUUCAACCUAUACUUAAAGACAUUUGCUUUAUAAAAAUUUCACUUCUUACAUUGUUAAAGUAGUAAUACUUGAAAACAUAAUAUAGUAAUAAAAUAAAAAUAUAAUCAAGCAUAUUAAAAAAAGUAUUUCACCGAAAUUAAGCACCUACGGGUUGACUAGCCUCAUUUCAUAUUCAUACUAAUCACCGAGAGUGGUGAAAUACUUUUCAACCUCCAACGAGAGGUCCACUAAAUUCAUUUGUGUCUGUUUAAGCAUCCCAUUUAUAGGCUAGCACACUCUAGGUAAUUUAAGAUACUUUAAUUGUUAAUUUUUACAUACUUAAGUUCAGUCUUUAGCAAACUGACUUACGUAAAUAGUUUUAAUUUUUAAUUUUUUUUUUACGCUGUAAUACUUCUCUGAUGCCUUUUGAAUUUUCAUGAAUUUUGUCCAGCGAUUUAUUUAUCUAGUGAAUUUUUGAUUAUAUUCAAUUUUUUUAAUAAAUAAUAAGCAAGAAUAAUUUUUGUAGUAAUUUUUUUUAACUGACUUUUGAUUUAACAAAGUUUAUAUUUUUUUAUUUUCCUUGUACGUAAAUGUGAUGUACAGCGACGUAUAUAGAGUCUGAGCACAGAAGCUGUCACAUCUAGCCAUUUUUUAUUUUAUCUUUUGCAUUCUACCCCCAAAGUCGUAUUUGUUCUACACCGUUAAUGAUCACAUUGUUUAUUUAAGUAAGAGCUACGUGACUUCCAGACGGUAAACUGGUUUCUUUUAUAUGUGUUUUCAAAAGUAGGACUUAGGUCAAGCUGGCCACAGUGCAGCACAAAAAUCAGUCCUCUGAGCCAACGAGCCAAGACUGGGUCCUCUGGGUGAAAUAUCCCAUGACCACUGGAGUGAACCCUGGGUCAUUUCCCAGCACUCUACUUUGGACGACCUGUCCAACCCUCCCUUACUGGCAGUGUGAAAUCUAUCAGCAGUCAUGGAAGGUCGAACCGCUCAAUUGUAAUGCACCCCUUUUUAGACUUUUUUAAUAUAUUUUUAUUGCGAUUUAUAUUUAUUUUUAAAUAAUUUAAAUUUGAGUGCGAAGAGAAGUUAAUUUUGUUUUGCAGAAAACUUUUAAAAAAAUAGGUAUUCAAUUAAUUAUAUUAAAAACAUCAGAGUUGUUGAGGCUGAUAUCCCUAAAAGCAAAAUAUACAAGGCAGUCAUCACUCUAUAAGAUUACAUAUUUAAAACGUACAUUAUAUUUCUGACUCAUUUCAUUAACUUUAAUAAGAGGUAUAAUCAAAGCUAUUAUUAAUAAUAUUCCUAAAUUCAUUCAAAGUAUUUUUACCCUUUUCAAAUUUAUUAAUGUGGUUGAUCGUUUUGGGUCUCGAACCCAGUUUAGCUUGGGGAAAAAACACCCUCGUAGGUCCUAUUGCUCCGGCCUGUUGGUCUGAUCAACCAUCAGUGCACGGACAUACGGAGCCUACGUUAGCUAAGAUCCGUAGAUUCCGGGACCGAGGUGUUGCUUCGCUUUUAGCAAGCAUCAAGUCUUCUCCAUAGCCUGAUUGAGCAGGGCUAAGUCCCAAUGCCUUCGGCUUCUUGUGGAAAGAUGUUUUGUACAGGGGUUUUAAUUCCCAUUCUAGUUUUAAGUUACAAGGAGUGUAUAGUCUCCAUUUUAUAUUGAGUGCAAGGACGCAGAUACCUUUUUCGCCUCAGUGGCCUUAUGGCCUCCCUCACAGUGCCCAACAGAUGGAAUCUACAGCUUGUCCAAUCAUCGAGAUCAACCACGUCUAAAUUUCACGUCAUUAAUUUAGUACCCACUAAAGUUUAUAAUAUUAACAGUAUUUCAAGUUCACAGAGCCAUGUUUUAAUUCAUGAUACCCUACGAAGUCCAAAUACCUUGGAAAACCUGAUCUUGAGACGUAACUGCGCCGCGCGCGCGCGAUAAAAGUUAGUAGUGGGAUACAGGCGAACCAGGUUACUCGCCUAACUAGAAGUGUUUUAUUUUCCCUACAUGCUCCGCAUUCAAGCGGGAGAGUAUGUGCCGGAAAUUAGGCAUUUCGACACCUUUUUUAAAUUUUUACUAUAAUUUUAAAUUAAUUUGGGAAAUUGUAUUUUUUUUAAUUUAUCUGGUUACAUAAGGGUGUAGUUUUUUUUUAAGUCGACUGAACCCGACUUGCCCCUGGUCGACCUUAAUGCGUGCAAACUCCGACAGAGGGAAGUCUUUUACGAUAGUUCACUUCGGGCCGGACGACGAGAGUUGCCGAAGGUUUCCGACGCCCCUCCACCCUCCAGGGCAAGGUCCUUGUUUGAAUUAGCGAAGCGGCGCGGAUGUGAGGGGAGGGACUCUUGCUCUGCACUCUGGAACGACCGCGUCGGUAGACCGCUGAUCGUGUUUCGGGCUCCGUCCAGUUAAUCAAAGCUGACGCCGAGCAGCAGUACUAAGAUGUAGUCCGAUCAGAAAAGGGAUGUUUCCCUAUUUACCUUUUGGUUUUUAAUUUUAGUCAUCUCAGCAUAGCCUCUACGUAGUAAUCCUAGUUUCUCCGCGGACCAAAUUUCUUGUCUGGUGCCGCAUAUAUUUUUUUCUUUUAACCGCGACGUCGGCCGCGCAUCACCCUCCAUCUACCAGGCGACAUGGCUGUGCCUAACAACUUCUACCCUGUUUUGACAGGGUCCUAGCCCCCCCCCCCCCCCUCCAAAGAGAAAGAACCCAUCAUGGGGAACAAAGCAAGCCCGGCGACCUCCAAUUUUGAAUUGGUGGUUUCGCCAGUGGAAGCCCUCUCUCCCGGCCUUUUCGCCAUCAGCUACGAACCGCAAGAAAAUCUUCAGUUCGUGAGAGCGAGUGCCAGUGAAAGUUUUAUUUUGUAAAUUUCCAAAUGUAAUUUCAAAUAUCAGAUUAGAACCAGUUUAACAGUUUUGGUCUCUUCAGCCAUCUCGAAAUUGUAUAUGUGAAAUUUUUAUAACUAACCAAUGAAAGCUUAUAUGGCGAUUACAGAUUAUUGUAAAAUGUUAAAACUUUACGGUUUCUUUAAGAAUAAUGUGUUGGAAAAAUAAUUUUCUAUUCGCGGCCCGGGUCGGCAAAUGAUUAGGUAAACUAAGCUCUCUUUAAUAAUGGUUAAAUGAUAGAAGUAUUUUCUCUUUAUAGCUUGUAACAGAAAAUCUUGAAAACAAACUUUGACCUUAAAUAAAAGGAUGCCUAUAAACGUAA
Molecule: long non-coding RNA, 5576 nt
Organism: Bacillus rossius redtenbacheri
Lineage: Eukaryota; Metazoa; Arthropoda; Insecta; Phasmatodea; Bacillidae
Exons: 2
Source: RefSeq, a predicted model, not a curated record